Molecule: ribosomal RNA, 274 nt
Filed under: uncultured bacterium
Lineage: Bacteria
Description: partial 16S ribosomal RNA
Rfam family: Bacterial small subunit ribosomal RNA
Source: RNAcentral
AUACAGAGGGCUCAAGCGUUAAUCGGAAUCACUGGGCUUAAAGGGUGCGCAGGCGGACCCGUCAGUGUCUUGUGAAAUCCCACGGCUCAACCGUGGAACUGCAGGGCAUACUGCGGGUCUUGAACCCGGCAGGGGCAACCGGAACUCUAGGUGGAGCGGUGAAAUGCGUAGAUAUCUAGAGGAACGCCAAAGGCGAAGGCAGGUUGCUGGGCCGGUGUUGACGCUCAGGCACGAAAGCGUGGGUAGCGAACGGGAUUAGAAACCCCUGUAGUCC